GGGGCUAUAGCUCAGCUGGCUAGAGCGCUUGCAUGGCAUGCAAGAGGUCAGGGGUUCGAAUCCCCUUAGCUCCACCA
This 77-nucleotide transfer RNA is filed under the name Bacteroidota bacterium. Its description in RNAcentral is "Bacteroidetes bacterium tRNA-Ala". It matches the Rfam family "tRNA". Rfam says of the family: Transfer RNA (tRNA) molecules are approximately 80 nucleotides in length. Lineage: Bacteria; Pseudomonadati; Bacteroidota. The record is from RNAcentral.